AGUGAACGCUGGCGGUAGGCCUAACACAUGCAAGUCGAACGGCAGCACAGAGGAGCUUGCUCCUUGGGUGGCGAGUGGCGGACGGGUGAGGAAUACAUCGGAAUCUACUCUGUCGUGGGGGAUAACGUAGGAAAACUUACGCUAAUACCGCAUACGACCUACGGGUGAAAGCAGGGGGUCUUCGGACCUUGCGCGAUUGAAUGAGCCGAUGUCGGAUUAGCUAGUUGGCGGGGUAAAGGCCCACCAAGGCGACGAUCCGUAGCUGGUCUGAGAGGAUGAUCAGCCACACUGGAACUGAGACACGGUCCAGACUCCUACGGGAGGCAGCAGUGGGGAAUAUUGGACAAUGGGCGCAAGCCUGAUCCAGCCAUACCGCGUGGGUGAAGAAGGCCUUCGGGUUGUAAAGCCCUUUUGUUGGGAAAGAAAUCCAUCUGGUUAAUACCCGGGUGGGAUGACGGUACCCAAAGAAUAAGCACCGGCUAACUUCGUGCCAGCCGCCGCAGUAA
This 506-nucleotide ribosomal RNA is filed under the name uncultured bacterium. RNAcentral describes it as "partial 16S ribosomal RNA". It matches the Rfam family "Bacterial small subunit ribosomal RNA", at positions 29 to 523 of the family's 1533-position model. The record is from RNAcentral.